GCAUCGAAAGCGUUGGAGAGGUGUUACCGGAACGGCGGCGACAAGGGUGUUCCCGAACUAGAGUGGAUAGAAAAUCAAGUAUAUUUUAAAAGAAGGGAUGUGGGAUCAAGGAGGACAGCCUUGGCAGCAGUGGCCCUUGAACCAGCAACAAUGGAUGCAGUCAUUCCAGCACCAACAGGAUCCAAGCCAGAUUGAUUGGGCUGCAUUGGCCCAAGCUUGGAUUGCCCAAAGAGAAGCUUCAGGACAGCAAAGCAUGGUAGAACAACCACCAGGAAUGAUGCCAAAUGGACAAGAUAUGUCUACAAUGGAAUCUGGUCCAAACAAUCAUGGGAAUUUCCAAGGGGAUUCAAACUUCAACAGAAUGUGGCAACCAGAAUGGGGAAUGCAUCAGCAACCCCCACACCCCCCUCCAGAUCAGCCAUGGAUGCCACCAACACCAGGCCCAAUGGACAUUGUUCCUCCUUCUGAAGACAGCAACAGUCAGGACAGUGGGGAAUUUGCCCCUGACAACAGGCAUAUAUUUAACCAGAACAAUCACAACUUUGGUGGACCACCCGAUAAUUUUGCAGUGGGGCCAGUGAACCAGUUUGACUAUCAGGACCUCCAGGACCUCCAGCACCUCCCCAGAAUCGAAGAGAAAGGCCAUCAUCAUUCAGGGAUCGUCAGCGUUCACCUAUUGCACUUCCUGUGAAGCAGGAGCCUCCACAAAUUGACGCAGUAAAACGCAGGACUCUUCCCGCUUGGAUUCGCGAAGGUCUUGAAAAAAUGGAACGUGAAAAGCAGAAGAAAUUGGAGAAAGAAAGAAUGGAACAACAACGUUCACAAUUGUCC
RNAcentral lists this long non-coding RNA (831 nucleotides) under Homo sapiens (human). RNAcentral's name for it is "long non-coding RNA NONHSAT209474.1". The record is from RNAcentral. Lineage: Eukaryota; Metazoa; Chordata; Mammalia; Primates; Hominidae.